This 468-nucleotide ribosomal RNA is filed under the name uncultured bacterium. Its description in RNAcentral is "partial 16S ribosomal RNA". It matches the Rfam family "Bacterial small subunit ribosomal RNA", at positions 28 to 507 of the family's 1533-position model. The record is from RNAcentral.
GAUGAACGCUGGCGGCGUGCUUAACACAUGCAAGUCGAACGGUGAAGGCGGAGCUUGCUCUGCUGGAUCAGUGGCGAACGGGUGAGUAACACGUGAGCAAUCUGCCCCUGACUCUGGGAUAAGCGCUGGAAACGGCGUCUAAUACUGGAUACGAGCUGCGAAGGCAUCUUCAGCAGCUGGAAAGAAUUUCGGUCAGGGAUGAGCUCGCGGCCUAUCAGCUUGUUGGUGAGGUAAUGGCUCACCAAGGCGUCGACGGGUAGCCGGCCUGAGAGGGUGACCGGCCACACUGGGACUGAGACACGGCCCAGACUACUACGGGAGGCAGCAGUGGGGAAUAGUGCACAAUGGGCGAAAGCCUGAUGCAGCAACGCCGCGUGAGGGACGACGGCCUUCGGGUUGUAAACCUCUUUUAGCAGGGAAGAAGCGAAAGUGACGGUACCUGCAGAAAAAGCGCCGGCUAACUACGUG